Molecule: small RNA, 84 nt
Filed under: Flavobacterium aquatile LMG 4008 = ATCC 11947
Lineage: Bacteria; Pseudomonadati; Bacteroidota; Flavobacteriia; Flavobacteriales; Flavobacteriaceae
Description: Flavobacterium aquatile LMG 4008 Flavo-1 RNA
Rfam family: Flavo-1 RNA
Source: Rfam by way of RNAcentral
AUCUAGCCCUGAUUGUAGAGGAAAUAAAAAAUGCUUCCAUUUGUAUGGAAGCAUUUUUUAUUGUAACGAAAAGCAGGAAUAAGG